UUUCAUAUGUUUACAUGUAACUCGUCUCGGAGACGGGCGUUGUGAAUCUGCGGAAUGUAAACGCGGUAUUUCCCUUCUCCGAGGAAACCGGCACACACUCCCCCAGAGACUAUCCGGGCAUCAUGGCCACCUUUUUACCCAUUUGCAUUGUGUGGAUCACCACCUGUGUGGGCCUCCUCUCUGCAGAACAUGUAUUUGGCAAAGAGAGUUCCACAGUUGUCCUGCCAUGUACACUGAGAGUUGUAGGUGGAACUCCAUAUAUUAGGUGGAGCACCGAUAAGGGUGAUGUGUUUGAGCGAAAGGGCAAGGAGUCAUUUCAGGGUGAUUGAUAUGGGGACCGUGUGAAUGUUCCUGAGACCCGGCUGCUUAAGGGGGACUGUUCCUUGGAGUUGAAGAAUCUUACACUUGCUGAUAAGGGUGUGUACCAGAGCUACCAGGCAGUGAGACGCACAAAAAGAUCUACACGUGUCGAUGAAAAAUGGGAUCUAAUCAGCAGUGUCACAGUCGAUGGUGUGCUGACAGGUGUGAUUCGUGACAGGAAGGGGGUCCUGGAUUACUGGCCAUAAUGCUAACAUAUGGCAGGGGAGUGGAUGCCAGCAUUUCCCAGAAGGAGCAACAAUGACUGAUUUAGCGGGGACCGGUGGAGGCAGAGGGGCAACAACGAGUCAAGUGAAGACCUCAUUUGGACCUCACUUCAUAUGAACAGUUAUGCUAUGAUGACUAGGACUGCAAUUGCUAUUAUAUCCUUAUUGCAAUCACCACAAACAGAUUUGCACUCAAGUCUCCAUCAGUGAACAGUGGAGAAGUUCAACAAAACAGACUUUAUGUGAAACCUGUAAUGAAUUCUCCUGGUUACACAUCUGCACUAUUUGACUAUGUAGUAUUAGCACAUUUAUAGAAGGAAUUUAUUUAUAAUCGCACUAUCUGGUGUCACCCAGAUGAGGACUGGUUCUUUUUUGAGUCUGGUUCUUCUCAAGUUUUCUUCCUCAUAUCGUCUCAGGGAGUUUUUCCUCACCACCAUCGCCUCUGGCUGCUCAUUAUGGAUAAAUUCAUACAUUUAAAUAUCCUGAAUUUAUAUAUUUCUGUAAAGCUGCUUUGGGACAAUGUCCAUUGUUAAAAGCGCUAUACAGAUAAAAUUGAAUUGAAUUGAAGGCAACGCUCUAUGUAGAGUCAGCAGGUUGUGGAGGUUCUGGAGUGACAGAGACAUCAGAGUCAUGAGGAGGAGCAAUGGUGUCCUUGCCGGAGUUGGAUGGCGAGUUACUGCGAGUGAUCAUCUUCCCUUUGAGGAAGCCUGACCAAACUUACCCUCUGCACAGGCUGACUGCCACCCUUAUGCUCUAGGGAUCGUGGAAGCAUGUAGUGUGACCAGUUGUGAAAGCCCUGUGAUUGCAGUGUAACACCUGUGCCAUCUAAAGAAACAAAUCAAAAGUCAGUUCCCACAGGGGAUGCGAGAACAAACUGGCCUCACCCACAGGUCAUGGUCUUGUCCCUCUUCUCUUGUUUUGUCUUCCAGCUUUUCUAUGAGGAAAUGUGAGUGAGAUCUAGAGUUGUGCACAGGAUGGUGUGUUUUAAACAAACAUCCACUGAAAAAAGCUAAGUUUACAAUUUCAUAGAAAAGCUGCUGAAGACCAUUUAUACCACAGAUAUUUGACAAUGCUAGCAAUUUUAUUUGCUAAAAGUUUAUAUACUUUGUGUGGUGAAGGGGCUUAACUCAACUCAGGAUUUUCUCUGUGAGCUUAAUGCUUUUAGUAGGGCCAUCGUUGGUGAACAGAUCUUAGGGGAGGGGUCCGAGAAAGACGCAUCCUAAUGACCCCCAUGAAAUAUACAAAAAAGAUGAAAAGUACCUUGCCUGGGUUAGGUUUACCAGGACCUAGUCCUGGAAUCAGUCUUGAGGGUCAUGACCGCAGGUGAGCAUCUGGUGACUGGACGACCCACUUCACUCGGUCAAGUCCAGCCUGAAAUGGUGAUGUGGAAACAUCUUGUAUUUUCACCACAUGCAAGAGAAAGGGAAGGGGACGGAUUGAAUGCCAAACUAUAAACCAGGAAUUAUUAGUGUGUAUGAUAAUAUAUAGAAAUUGUCAAAUCAUGUAAUGCUUUUGACAUUUUCAUUGGAUUCUGCUGGAUUGCUGGAUCCCAGUCCUGUUUGCACAACUCUAGUGCUUUGCACUCUGUAGGGAACUGAGAGUAGGAUGCUAUUUCAGACACAGAAAAACUUACCAAGUCCCAAAGAGCAUUCCACACUUUACCUAUUUGCACACCAAUGGGUCUAACACAAUCUUUGAAGCGCAAAGGAUGGAAAUGUGUGUGUGUGUGUGUGUGUGUGUGUGUGUGUGUGUGUAUAAAUGUUGUGUACACAACAAAUUGUGAGAUUUCCUGUUACAGAUUUAAUAACAUUUUAAACCCCUGUAUUGUUCAGAUUAUGAUUGGGCCAGGUCUGAAAUUUUAUUUUAAUACCCCUUUUUGUGAAAAAAGACCAAGUAAAGCAAAAAUAAUAGAUUGCUUUGAGAUUAUCAGAAAAGUAGAUGGUAUCAUUUCUGCCCACUUUCUUUAGAAUAUGAACAUCACAAAUCAAAUUGAUUGAUCAGCACUCCAGGAAAGCAAAAUCUGCAAACUCUCACAAGCGUGAAACUCUUCUCUGGCCAUGUUCUGGAAACAAAAUGUAUGUGUGUAUGCUAUAUGAACUACUAUGCUAAUUGUAAUAAAAAUGUUUUCUACAUUGUUGUUGCAGUAUUAAACAGUAAAAGACU
Ictalurus furcatus (blue catfish) is the source of this 2747-nucleotide long non-coding RNA. RefSeq lists it as uncharacterized. The transcript is spliced from 6 exons. Lineage: Eukaryota; Metazoa; Chordata; Actinopteri; Siluriformes; Ictaluridae. The record is from RefSeq and is a predicted model, not a curated record.